GACAGAGGUGCCAAGCGUUAGGCGGAAUCACUGGGCUUAAAGCGUGUGUAGGUGGAUUUGUAAGUACCUCGUGAAAUCCCAUGGCUCAACCAUGGAACUGCUCGGUAUACUGCGAAUCUUGAGCCACUUAGGGGCUACCGGAACAAAUGGUGGAGCGGUGAAAUGCGUAGAUAUCAUUUGGAACGCCAAUGGUGAAAACAGGUAGCUGGGAGUGUGCUGACACUGAGACACGAAAGCCAGGGGAGCGAACGGG
RNAcentral lists this ribosomal RNA (253 nucleotides) under uncultured bacterium. RNAcentral describes it as "partial 16S ribosomal RNA". It matches the Rfam family "Bacterial small subunit ribosomal RNA", at positions 524 to 776 of the family's 1533-position model. The record is from RNAcentral.